CAUGCAAGUCGUACGAGAAAUCCUGGGCAACUGCGAGAGUAAAGUGGCGCACGGGUGAGUAACGCGUGGGUAACCUACCCUUGAAUUGGGGAUAACUCCUCGAAAGGGGAGUUAAUACCGAAUAAUAUUCCAAUUCCCCCGGGAGUUGGAAUCAAAGGUGGUCUCUGCAUGCAAGCUACUGUCUAAGGAUGGGCCCGCGUACCAUUAGCUAGUUGGUAGGGUAAUGGCUUACCAAGGCAACGAUGGUUAGCUGGUCUGAGAGGACGGCCAGCCACACUGGAACUGAGACACGGUCCAGACUCCUACGGGAGGCAGCAGUGGGGAAUCUUGCGCAAUGGGGGAAACCCUGACGCAGCAACGCCGCGUGGGUGAUGAAGGCUUUCGGGUCGUAAAGCCCUGUCAGGUGGGAAGAAAUAUGCCAAUAUGAAUAAUAUUGACAUUGACGG
Molecule: ribosomal RNA, 446 nt
Filed under: uncultured bacterium
Lineage: Bacteria
Description: bacterial SSU rRNA
Rfam family: Bacterial small subunit ribosomal RNA
Source: RNAcentral